CCACCAAAAAGCUCCGAUUCCGACCACUUUUCAGACGUUAUUUUUCGACGAUCAGCUGUAAAUUAGUCCACAAACAUCAUAAGCUUGUCCAUUGCAUCCAUUGUUACCCCAUUUGUUUCCUAUCUUCUCAAACACACUUUCCACCAUUGUUAAAAAGCUUUAAAUCACUCACAUUACUCAAAACCACUUUAGAAAGUGCAUUACAGCAG
Molecule: long non-coding RNA, 209 nt
Filed under: Capsicum annuum
Lineage: Eukaryota; Viridiplantae; Streptophyta; Magnoliopsida; Solanales; Solanaceae
Description: long non-coding RNA (CANN_LNC010506)
Source: RNAcentral